RNAcentral lists this ribosomal RNA (587 nucleotides) under uncultured bacterium. RNAcentral describes it as "bacterial SSU rRNA". It matches the Rfam family "Bacterial small subunit ribosomal RNA", at positions 338 to 916 of the family's 1533-position model. The record is from RNAcentral.
CCUACGGGAGGCAGCAGUAGGGAAUCUUCCACAAUGGACGAAAGUCUGAUGGAGCAACGCCGCGUGAGCGAUGAAGGCCUUCGGGUCGUAAAGCUCUGUUGUUAGGGAAGAACAAGUAUCGGAGUAACUGCCGGUACCUUGACGGUACCUAACCAGAAAGCCACGGCUAACUACGUGCCAGCAGCCGCGGUAAUACGUAGGUGGCAAGCGUUGUCCGGAAUUAUUGGGCGUAAAGCGCGCGCAGGCGGUCCUUUAAGUCUGAUGUGAAAGCCCACGGCUCAACCGUGGAGGGUCAUUGGAAACUGGAGGACUUGAGUACAGAAGAGGAAAGUGGAAUUCCACGUGUAGCGGUGAAAUGCGUAGAGAUGUGGAGGAACACCAGUGGCGAAGGCGACUUUCUGGUCUGUAACUGACGCUGAGGCGCGAAAGCGUGGGGAGCAAACAGGAUUAGAUACCCUGGUAGUCCACGCCGUAAACGAUGAGUGCUAAGUGUUAGAGGGUUUCCGCCCUUUAGUGCUGCAGCUAACGCAUUAAGCACUCCGCCUGGGGAGUACGGCCGCAAGGCUGAAACUCAAAGGAAUUGACGG